Molecule: ribosomal RNA, 496 nt
Filed under: uncultured bacterium
Lineage: Bacteria
Description: partial 16S ribosomal RNA
Rfam family: Bacterial small subunit ribosomal RNA
Source: RNAcentral
GAUGAACGCUGGCGGCGUGCCUAAUACAUGCAAGUCGAGCGAACAGACGAGGAGCUUGCUCCUCUGACGUUAGCGGCGGACGGGUGAGUAACACGUGGAUAACCUACCUAUAAGACUGGGAUAACUUCGGGAAACCGGAGCUAAUACCGGAUAAUAUAUUGAACCGCAUGGUUCAAUAGUGAAAGACGGUUUUGCUGUCACUUAUAGAUGGAUCCGCGCCGCAUUAGCUAGUUGGUAAGGUAACGGCUUACCAAGGCGACGAUGCGUAGCCGACCUGAGAGGGUGAUCGGCCACACUGGAACUGAGACACGGUCCAGACUCCUACGGGAGGCAGCAGUAGGGAAUCGUCCGCAAUGGGCGAAAGCCUGACGGAGCAACGCCGCGUGAGUGAUGAAGGUCUUCGGAUCGUAAAACUCUGUUAUUAGGGAAGAACAAAUGUGUAAGUAACUAUGUACGUCUUGACGGUACCUAAUCAGAAAGCCACGGCGAACUACGU